GACGAACGCUGGCGGCGUGCUUAACACAUGCAAGUCGAACGGAAAGGCCCUGCUUUUGUGGGGUGCUCGAGUGGCGAACGGGUGAGUAACACGUGUGUAACCUGUCCUUGACUUUGGGAUAACUUUUGGAAACUGGGGCUCAUACCGGAUAGGAUCUCCUGCUGCAUGGUGGUGGUAGGAAAGUGUCGGCUGUUGGGUCUGGUCUCGCGGGUUAUGCGCUUGUUGGUGUGGUAGUUGCUGACCAAGGCUGUGACGGGUAGCCCGCCUUGGAGGGUGGCCGGCCACAAUGGGACUGAGAGACGCAGCAGAAUGCUACGGGCGGCAGCAGUCGAGAGUAUUGCGGAAUGGGCGGAAGCCUGAUGCAGCAACGCCGCGUGCGGGAUGACGGGCUACGAGUUGUAAACCGCUUUCGCCGGUGACGAAGCGAGAGUGACGGUAAUGGGUAAAGAAGCCACGGCUAACUACGUG
This 468-nucleotide ribosomal RNA is filed under the name uncultured bacterium. RNAcentral describes it as "partial 16S ribosomal RNA". It matches the Rfam family "Bacterial small subunit ribosomal RNA", at positions 28 to 507 of the family's 1533-position model. The record is from RNAcentral.